This 680-nucleotide unclassified non-coding RNA is filed under the name Hevea brasiliensis (rubber tree). Lineage: Eukaryota; Viridiplantae; Streptophyta; Magnoliopsida; Malpighiales; Euphorbiaceae. The record is from RNAcentral.
GAUUCCUGAAUUGAGGCAUUAUGCUCCUGGAGUUCCAAUUAUUCUUGUUGGAACAAAGCUAGAUCUCCGAGAGGAUAAGCAAUUCUUUGUGGACCAUCCAGGUGCUGUUCCACUUAGCACAGCUCAGGGUGAGGAGCUGAGAAAGUCGAUUGGUGCUGCUGCUUACAUUGAAUGUAGUGCAAAAACUCAACAGAACAUUAAGGCUGUUUUUGAUGCGGCCAUUAAGGUGGUCCUACAACCACCCAAGCAAAAGAAGAAGAAGAAGAGAAAGGGUCAGAAAGCCUGCUCUAUCUUGUGAUUGCUAAAAGCAUUAGCUGAAGGAAGGAGAUGUAGAUUGUUUAUCAACGUCUUCCAAGUCAAAAAAUGCACAACAUAAGGUUCAGUACUGUUAGUCUUGACUGACUAUAACUGGAAAGCAUCAAACCUGCAGUUGUCCGUUUGAUUAUAGGCCGAGAUGUAUAUUUGUGAUCCGAAGUAUGGUUUAGGGGUGUACGAAUGUGCAAAAAUCAUCUCAGUUCGUUUUAAAUAUGUAUAAUCUAUUAUGUAACACUAGUAUGAUGAUUUUUCGUCUUUGCGUCUGCUAAAUGUUGUUGUGUAAUGUGCCUGAACAUACUGAUUUAGAUUGUCCAACAAGUUGAUUUGCUAUUGUCAUUGUUUUGAAACAUAAAGAUGGUGCUGCU